This 967-nucleotide long non-coding RNA is filed under the name Mustela putorius furo (domestic ferret). RNAcentral's name for it is "lncRNA (ENSMPUG00000031482.1)". Lineage: Eukaryota; Metazoa; Chordata; Mammalia; Carnivora; Mustelidae. The record is from RNAcentral.
UAAACUAUAUCUGUUGAUGUUGUCUCCAACUUUGCCUCACAGAGCUUUCCUGCGGUCCACCCUGAAGAGACUACUUCAAGAAGAGCAAAGCUAACCACCGAGACAGAACACUGGACGUGCACCCCCGUGACAACUGUCAUCUGUGUGGAGACUCCUUUCAUAUGGAGUGCUGCUGGGGCAAUUUCAACAAGAGUUUGGGUCACAGUUGUUACAGGUAUAGCUUCUUCUCCUUGGGACUAUGCAUUCAGAUGCUGGCUUCACCAAUUCCAGGACUGGCUACUUGAAAAGGUAGCAGCAACUACUAAUUACUCUGGUCAUUCAUUAUCUGUUUGGAGGUCCAGGUAUCGGAAGGGAGUUACCUUUUUUUACAGUAGUAGAUUCCCCAAUAUACCACAUUUACCUUCAACACUACCUUAGCUAUGGUUCACCAAACAUGAAUUGAGCCCCUAAGUAUUCACAGAGCUGGGGGAAUUGAUACAAUACAAAUGAGAGAUCAUCCAGCCUGCCCUCCGGAGAAACCCACAGCCUAGGGGCUCUUAACUGUUUGUCCUCAUAAAAGAUGUCUGUUCUGUGAGGAUCAGUUGCCAAGCUUACUGAAGUUUAAUUUAUAAACAAGCUUUGGUUUGGCUAAAUACCCUCUCCCUACCACCUACUUCUUCCUCUCCCCUUACUUAAAAACACUGCAUAAAUAUCCCCCAGAAGGUUUAAGGCCUGCCUGUGUUGGCUGAUAAGAACAAAAGGUAAAUUAACCCAGCUCUGUUAUUUUAGCUUCUGGACCAAAGAUUUCUGGCUCUUCCUUUGGUUAUAAUUUAGCCUGGAGACUGGAUCUGUCAAUGAUGGAAUCCCAGCAAUGAACAACAGAUGACCAUUUCCUCAAUCCUUGGGUACCAUGGUUCGCACAGUGACUCCAAACUUUUAUUGUUUACCUCCAUUGGUAAAAUAUUUUGAACAUGCAACCCUAUGUAAG